GCAGACACAUUCCAGCUAAUCAGCAGCAGACCCUCCCUCCCAGACCCUCCCACCUCCUGGACAGCAUCCAUUUUACAUUCAUUGUGAAGCUGCAUUCUUAGUGAGCUGUCCAGGAGUGGGAGGGUCUGGGAGAGAGGGUCUGCUGCUGAUUGGCUGGAAUGUGUCUG
This 167-nucleotide microRNA precursor is filed under the name Pelobates cultripes (western spadefoot toad). Lineage: Eukaryota; Metazoa; Chordata; Amphibia; Anura; Pelobatidae. The record is from RNAcentral.